Molecule: ribosomal RNA, 292 nt
Filed under: uncultured bacterium
Lineage: Bacteria
Description: partial 16S ribosomal RNA
Rfam family: Bacterial small subunit ribosomal RNA
Source: RNAcentral
GUUUCAGCAGCCGCGGUAAUACAGAGGUCCCAAGCGUUGUUCGGAUUCACUGGGCGUAAAGGGUGCGUAGGCGGUCGGGUAAGUCUGAUGUGAAAUCUCACAGCUUAACUGUGAAACUGCAUUGGAUACUAUUCGGCUUGAGAGUUGGAGGGGGGACUGGAAUUCUUGGUGUAGCAGUGAAAUGCGUAGAUAUCAAGAGGAACACCAGUGGCGAAGGCGAGUCCCUGGACAACUUCUGACGCUGAGGCACGAAAGCUAGGGGAGCAAACAGGAUUAGAUACCCUCGUAGUCC